This 622-nucleotide ribosomal RNA is filed under the name Bacillus cereus. RNAcentral's name for it is "bacterial SSU rRNA". It matches the Rfam family "Bacterial small subunit ribosomal RNA", at positions 118 to 724 of the family's 1533-position model. The record is from RNAcentral. Lineage: Bacteria; Bacillati; Bacillota; Bacilli; Caryophanales; Bacillaceae.
UGGGUAACCUGCCCAUAAGACUGGGAUAACUCCGGGAAACCGGGGCUAAUACCGGAUAACAUUUUGAACUGCAUGGUUCGAAAUUGAAAGGCGGCUUCGGCUGUCACUUAUGGAUGGACCCGCGUCGCAUUAGCUAGUUGGUGAGGUAACGGCUCACCAAGGCAACGAUGCGUAGCCGACCUGAGAGGGUGAUCGGCCACACUGGGACUGAGACACGGCCCAGACUCCUACGGGAGGCAGCAGUAGGGAAUCUUCCGCAAUGGACGAAAGUCUGACGGAGCAACGCCGCGUGAGUGAUGAAGGCUUUCGGGUCGUAAAACUCUGUUGUUAGGGAAGAACAAGUGCUAGUUGAAUAAGCUGGCACCUUGACGGUACCUAACCAGAAAGCCACGGCUAACUACGUGCCAGCAGCCGCGGUAAUACGUAGGUGGCAAGCGUUAUCCGGAAUUAUUGGGCGUAAAGCGCGCGCAGGUGGUUUCUUAAGUCUGAUGUGAAAGCCCACGGCUCAACCGUGGAGGGUCAUUGGAAACUGGGAGACUUGAGUGCAGAAGAGGAAAGUGGAAUUCCAUGUGUAGCGGUGAAAUGCGUAGAGAUAUGGAGGAACACCCAGUGGCGAAGGCGA